Molecule: long non-coding RNA, 1314 nt
Filed under: Capra hircus (goat)
Lineage: Eukaryota; Metazoa; Chordata; Mammalia; Artiodactyla; Bovidae
Description: lncRNA (ENSCHIG00010032114.1)
Source: RNAcentral
UCCUACCUUAGUCCCUGAAGCCUAUCAUGGCGUUUGUUAGGUCCCAACAUAAUCCAUACAAGCUAACAAUCCAACUGCAGCUUCCCCAGGUGCCUACGACUUAGCGAGCAUGCACACAACAACACAAUGAUCCUAUUUUCUGACUUACAGUCUGAUAGGGACUUUUUUCCCCAAUUUUUGAUAAUCUUGCAAUGGCAUAAGAAUUAAAUAUACUUAUGAAAGCAUGUAAGAAGUUGUUUUUGUUGAAAAACAUAAAAUAACAUGAAAUAAAGACUAGGAAAAACUGAGACAGUUAAACACAGUUAAUGUUAUCUUUUUUUUUUUGAAAGUAGCAAUCAAGACUUAAUCAUACAGUUAAUCUUAUAUUUGAAGUCAAAUAACUGAUGUAUAACCAACCAAAGAUGUGUGACAGCAUCUGUAAUGCAAAAUCUUAAUGUAAUGCAAUACUUUUGUAUUAAUAUUUCAUGUUUAAGGUGUUCAAUUUAUUUAUUCCUUAAAAUUAUACUUGUGUGUGAAUAAAUUUGAUUAGCAUAUUCACAUAAUUUAUUUCUUAUUAAAAGGAAGAAACUAGAAAUAAAUAAAACUCCUACCUCUCCCCACCAUGCAGAGUGGAAGAGGCAGUUCUCCAGGGGCAUUUGUUUUCGGUCCUGACAGGAAGGAAGCACUCAGAGAAUCCAUUUCCUGUAGUUGCUAUUAUCAGUCUCCACAGCCAUAAUAAAAGUCUCUCACUCUUCCUUGCUUUCAGAUGUCCUAAAAAGUCAUAGAUAUGCUUUCUCAUUAUUUUAAAAAUACAAUAAAAUACACCAAUUAAAGAGAAGGGAGUAUGGUGGCCAGAAAUAUGUAUUCGCUUUUGCUUAACUCUUAAUUUGAAGGUAUGUUUUAUCUUUUGUUCUGAAAUAAUUUCAAACUUACAGGAAUGUUGCAAAAAUUAUACAAAGGACCCUGUACGCUUCACUCAGAUUCAUCAACUGUUAAUUUUUGGACUCAUUUGCAGUCUCUCUCUCUCUCUCACUUUCUAUAUAUAUGUAUCUUUAUAUACACAUAAAAAAAUUUCCAAAACAAAUUGAGAGGAAAUCUUAGACACUGUACUUCAUUAUUCCUUUAGUACUUCAGUGUGAUCUGUUGAGAAAACGACAUUUUCUUACAAAGCUCCAGUAUAUUGAAAAAUUUUAGGAAAUGAACAAUGAUGCUGUUAUUUAAUCCACAGUCCAUAUUCAAAAUUCACCAAUUAUUUAGCCACAUCAAUGCCUUCCUUCUGCUGAGGCAUUCUUAGGGCUUAAAGUAAAACCUAACCUUCAUACCAUGACAGUUUAC